UCAGCAUCACAAACAUAUCACGCAUCAAAGAUCCAAGAAAGGAGUUUUGCCAGUAUAAAGUUGGGGAUUUGGUGAAAGCCAGCUGCCAUGGCUUUUCUGGCGUGCAUCCCGCCAAGAUCUUAGGUAGGCCUUUUCAAGCAAGUUUCUGUUUACAAUAUUUACACAAAUUUUGUCAGAAUGUAUUAAGUUUAUUUUAACUUGAGGAUAAUUAAAACUGCAGUUGGACUAUACAGUCCUACAUAUUAGCCCUUCUUGAUUCCCUCCAUUUUGUUGACAAAAUACAUAUUCUUAUGUGGACAAACAUUUUUAAAUAAUAAAAGUACGAUUAUGAAAAUUUACAUGAUUUAGAAAUAAGAAAAUGUGUUUAUAAUAGUAUAGAAUUUCCCUUCCCUAAAACUGAAAAAAAUAUUUAUUUCUUUAAGAAAAUAUUUGCUUGCCCUCUAGGCCUCUCCCGACUAGGGAUAAAAAGGGUCGAGUAGGAAAGUAGGGAGAAAAUUCUUUUUUAUUCACAUGAAGUUAAAAAAGCUAUAAAUUAGAUAAGAAAAUUUCGGAAUGAGUAAUAAAAAAAAUGUUAACUGGAGGUUAAAAAAGUUUUUGAGUCUUUUUUUUUAAAAUUUUUAAUAAUAAUAAUAAAGCUUUGAAAUAAAUGGAUUGUGAUUUUCUUUUAUCUUGGCUUCUUUUUCUUAUUCUAGAUGAUGGAGCUGAUGCCUGGUAGUGGGAUCUACAUUUAUCCCAAAGAUAUACAAGCUUUAUAUAAGCCAAAAAAAAACCCAACAAGUGGAACUUUUCAGGAAGGGGAACCUAACUGGUGCAAAUGAAAAGACCAUUUUAAACACUAUUCCUGACGAUGCCGGGAUUCAGAGGCCAUUGUCAAGUUUUCGAUGAGGACCAAGAUUAGUUCCCAAGUCAGCCUCCAGAACAUGAAACAGACCUAGCUUUUAUACAUUCAGUAAUGUGAGAUAUAUAUAUAUAUAUAUAUAUAUAUAUGGGAUUCCCUUCAUAAGGGAUUGUCCAAUUUUUAAUGUGAUAAUAUGUACAAAGAGUUAGUGAUGAAUAUUUUAUUUAUAUUUUUGUGCCAAACUUUAUAAAUGAUUGAUUGUUUGAUGUUUUCCGCCACGCUCAACAAUUUUUCAGUUAUCUGGUGGCACCCAGUUUUUAUUGGUGGAAGAGAGAACCCAGAUACAAUGUACCUUGGAAGAGACCACCGACCUUCCGAAAGUAAACUGGGAAACUUUCUCACUUACCGGCGCGAGCGGGAUUCGAACCCGCGCCGACAGAGGUGAGAGGCCAUGUGAUUUGGAGCGCGAUGCUCUAACCACUUGGCCACCUUUAUAAAUGAAAUUAAUAUACCAAUAAUAGUCGCUGUUUAUAAUCGGUAAUGUCUUAUUAUCCCCAUCUUUUUUGUAACUUUUCCAUAACUUUUGUCGGGUAUAACUUUUUUGUAACUUUUCCAUAACUUUUGUCGGGUAUAACUUUUAUGUAACUUUCUCCAUAACUUUUGUUGGGUAUAACUUUUUUGUAACUUUUCCAUAACUUUUGUCGGGUAUAACUUUUUUGUAACUUUUCCAUAACUUUUGUCGGGUAUAACUUUUUUGUAACUUUUCCAUAACUUUUGUCGGGUAUAACUUUUAUGUAACUUUCUCCAUAACUUUUGUUGGGUAUAACUUUUUUGUAACUUUUCCAUAACUUUUGUCAGGUAUAACUUUUUUGUAACUUUUCCACAAUUUUUGUUGGGUAUAACUUUUUUGUAACUUUUCCAUAACUUAAGUAUAACUUUUUGAUAACUUUUGUGAAGUAUAACUUUUUUGAAGUAUAACUUUUUGAUAACUUUUAUGCACUUGUUGUAUUCAUGUUGAAAUAAAAGAUGAUAACUUAUA
Long non-coding RNA from Ostrea edulis (European flat oyster), 1877 nucleotides. RefSeq lists it as uncharacterized. The record is from RefSeq and is a predicted model, not a curated record. Lineage: Eukaryota; Metazoa; Mollusca; Bivalvia; Ostreida; Ostreidae. The transcript has 2 exons.